This 324-nucleotide ribosomal RNA is filed under the name uncultured eukaryote. RNAcentral's name for it is "partial 18S ribosomal RNA". It matches the Rfam family "Eukaryotic small subunit ribosomal RNA", at positions 1470 to 1796 of the family's 1831-position model. The record is from RNAcentral.
CCCUUAGAUGCUCUGGGCCGCACGCGCGCUACACUGGUCGAUGCAACGAGUUUCUUUCCUUGGCCGACAGGCCUGGGCAAUCUUUGAACAUCGAUCGUGAUCGGGAUAGAUUCUUGUAAUUUUUGAUCUUAAACGAGGAAUUCCUAGUAAACGCAAGUCAUCAGCUUGCAUUGAUUACGUCCCUGCCCUUUGUACACACCGCCCGUCGCACCUACCGAUUGAAUGGUCCGGUGAAAUCUCCGGACUGGCGUGAGUCGGAGCAAUCUGACAAACACCGGAAAGUUGAUUAAACCUUACCAUUUAGAGGAAGGUGAAGUCGGAACA